AGUCAUGAUGGCUAUUCCUUGAAAAUAGUGAUUGUGAUUAGCGAGGCGCUCGUGUUCCAGCACGGGCGCCUCGCGAA
Kluyvera ascorbata ATCC 33433 is the source of this 77-nucleotide non-coding RNA. Lineage: Bacteria; Pseudomonadati; Pseudomonadota; Gammaproteobacteria; Enterobacterales; Enterobacteriaceae. The record is from Rfam.